This 1257-nucleotide ribosomal RNA is filed under the name arsenic-oxidizing bacterium B12. Its description in RNAcentral is "bacterial SSU rRNA". It matches the Rfam family "Bacterial small subunit ribosomal RNA", at positions 102 to 1375 of the family's 1533-position model. The record is from RNAcentral.
ACGGGUGAGUAACACGUGAGCAACCUGCCCCGGACUCUGGGAUAACAGUUGGAAACAGCUGCUAAUACCGGAUACGCACCAUACAGGCAUCUGUUGUGGUGGGAAAGAUUUUUUGGUUCGGGAUGGGCUCGCGGCCUAUCAGCUUGUUGGUGAGGUAAUGGCUCACCAAGGCGUCGACGGGUAGCCGGCCUGAGAGGGUGACCGGCCACACUGGGACUGAGACACGGCCCAGACUCCUACGGGAGGCAGCAGUGGGGAAUAUUGCACAAUGGGCGGAAGCCUGAUGCAGCAACGCCGCGUGAGGGAUGACGGCCUUCGGGUUGUAAACCUCUUUUAGCAGGGAAGAAGCGAGAGUGACGGUACCUGCAGAAAAAGCGCCGGCUAACUACGUGCCAGCAGCCGCGGUAAUACGUAGGGCGCAAGCGUUAUCCGGAAUUAUUGGGCGUAAAGAGCUCGUAGGCGGUCUGUCGCGUCUGCUGUGAAAACCCGAGGCUCAACCUCGGGCCUGCAGUGGGUACGGGCAGACUAGAGUGCGGUAGGGGAGAUUGGAAUUCCUGGUGUAGCGGUGGAAUGCGCAGAUAUCAGGAGGAACACCGAUGGCGAAGGCAGAUCUCUGGGCCGUAACUGACGCUGAGGAGCGAAAGGGUGGGGAGCAAACAGGCUUAGAUACCCUGGUAGUCCACCCCGUAAACGUUGGGAACUAGUUGUGGGGACCUUUCCACGGUCUCCGUGACGCAGCUAACGCAUUAAGUUCCCCGCCUGGGGAGUACGGCCGCAAGGCUAAACUUAAAGGAUUGACGGGGACCCGCACAAGCGGCGGAGCAUGCGGAUUAAUUCGAUGCAACGCGAAGAACCUUACCAAGGCUUGACAUAUAGAGGAAAGGUCUGGAAACAGUCCCCCCGCAAGGUCUCUAUACAGGUGGUGCAUGGUUGUCGUCAGCUCGUGUCGUGAGAUGUUGGGUUAAGUCCCGCAACGAGCGCAACCCUCGUUCUAUGUUGCCAGCACGUAAUGGUGGGAACUCAUGGGAUACUGCCGGGGUCAACUCGGAGGAAGGUGGGGAUGACGUCAAAUCAUCAUGCCCCUUAUGUCUUGGGCUUCACGCAUGCUACAAUGGCCGGUACAAAGGGCUGCAAUACCGUGAGGUGGAGCGAAUCCCAAAAAUCCGGUCCCAGUUCGGAUUGAGGUCUGCAACUCGACCUCAUGAAGUCGGAGUCGCUAGUAAUCGCAGAUCAGCAACGCUGCGGGAAUACGUUCCC